GACCCAGAAGAACGUACCCGGAGACCAGAAGCCCCCGGAGGACCAGGAAGACUAUGAAGACCUAUCAGCCUGAUAGAUGCAGGAUCCGAGUAAAGGAGUCGACAGGACGACAAAGGAUGACGAUGUGAAGGAUGACCCGAGCUACACUCCGAGCUGCCUGUGGAGGAGGAUCGAGAAGAUUCGAGAAGAUGAAGUUGCCCAGAAGACUAGAUAUCAUUUCCGCUUUCUGUUUGUUUUCUUUUAGCCCAAGGGGAGAUUCGUAUUACAAUCCUUUGGAUUAUGUAAUAAAUAAACCCAUGUCAUAUUGUAAACGUGAGAUAUGUUUGUGAUAUUCGAUUGAAAUGAGUUUUGUA
Long non-coding RNA from Panicum virgatum (switchgrass), 353 nucleotides. RefSeq lists it as uncharacterized. NCBI's taxonomy places the organism in Eukaryota, Viridiplantae, Streptophyta, Magnoliopsida, Poales, Poaceae. The record is from RefSeq and is a predicted model, not a curated record. The transcript has 2 exons.